RNAcentral lists this transfer RNA (65 nucleotides) under Labiotermes labralis. RNAcentral's name for it is "tRNA-Asn". Lineage: Eukaryota; Metazoa; Arthropoda; Insecta; Blattodea; Termitidae. The record is from RNAcentral.
UUAACUGAAACCAAAAAGAGGUAUAUUAUUGUUAAUAAUAAAAUUGAAUUUAAAUUCCAGUUAAA